RNAcentral lists this ribosomal RNA (526 nucleotides) under uncultured bacterium. RNAcentral's name for it is "bacterial SSU rRNA". It matches the Rfam family "Bacterial small subunit ribosomal RNA", at positions 355 to 897 of the family's 1533-position model. The record is from RNAcentral.
UUAGGAAUUUUGGGCAAUGGGCGCAAGCCUGACCCAGCAACGCCGCGUGGGUGACGAAGGCCUUCGGGUUGUAAAGCCCUUUUCUGGGGGAAGAUGAUGACGGUACCCCAGGAAGAAGCACCGGCUAACUACGUGCCAGCAGCCGCGGUAAUACGUAGGGUGCGAACGUUGCCCGGAUUUAUUGGGCGUAAAGGGCGCGUAGGCGGCUCGGCACGUCCGUUGUGAAAUCGCCCGGCUCAACUGGGCGGGGUCAGCGGAUACGGUCGAGCUUGAGCAAGCUAGGGGGCAAUGGAAUUCCCGGUGUAGUGGUGGAAUGCGUAGAUAUCGGGAGGAACACCAGUGGCGAAGGCGGUUGCCUGGGGCUUUGCUGACGCUGAUGCGCGAAAGCGUGGGGAGCGAUCCGGAUUAGAUACCCGGGUAGUCCACGCCGUAAACGAUGCGGACUAGGUGUCGGGGGUAUCGACCCCCUCGGCGCCGCAGCUAACGCAUUAAGUCCGCCGCCUGGGGACUACGGCCGCAAGGCUAA